GCGCCUAUAGUUAAAUGGAUAUAACGCGGCCCUCCGGAGGCCGUAUUAGGGGUUCGAGUCCUCUUAGGCGCGCCA
RNAcentral lists this transfer RNA (75 nucleotides) under Gammaproteobacteria bacterium. RNAcentral's name for it is "tRNA-Arg". It matches the Rfam family "tRNA". From Rfam's summary of the family: Transfer RNA (tRNA) molecules are approximately 80 nucleotides in length. RNAcentral also lists the same sequence under 1 other name. Lineage: Bacteria; Pseudomonadati; Pseudomonadota; Gammaproteobacteria. The record is from RNAcentral.